RNAcentral lists this ribosomal RNA (462 nucleotides) under uncultured bacterium. RNAcentral describes it as "partial 16S ribosomal RNA". It matches the Rfam family "Bacterial small subunit ribosomal RNA", at positions 28 to 507 of the family's 1533-position model. The record is from RNAcentral.
GACGAACGCUGGCGGCGUGCUUAACACAUGCAAGUCGAGCGGAAAGGCCCUUCGGGGUACUCGAGCGGCGAACGGGUGAGUAACACGUGAGUAACCUGCCCUAGGCUUUGGGAUAACCCCGGGAAACCGGGGCUAAUACCGGAUAUGACCUGGUGCCGCAUGGUGUUGGGUGGAAAGUUUUUUCCGCCUGGGAUGGGCUCGCGGCCUAUCAGCUUGUUGGUGGGGUGAUGGCCUACCAAGGCGAUGACGGGUAGCCGGCCUGAGAGGGCGACCGGCCACACUGGGACUGAGACACGGCCCAGACUCCUACGGGAGGCAGCAGUGGGGAAUAUUGCACAAUGGGCGGAAGCCUGAUGCAGCGACGCCGUGUGAGGGAUGAAGGCCUUCGGGUUGUAAACCUCUUUCAGCAGGGACGAAGCGUGAGUGACGGUACCUGCAGAAGAAGCGCCGGCCAACUACGUG